Molecule: unclassified non-coding RNA, 238 nt
Filed under: Athelopsis sp.
Lineage: Eukaryota; Fungi; Basidiomycota; Agaricomycetes; Atheliales; Atheliaceae
Description: partial contains 5.8S ribosomal RNA, internal transcribed spacer 2, and large subunit ribosomal RNA
Rfam family: 5.8S ribosomal RNA (bases 1-52)
Source: RNAcentral
AACGCACAUUGCGCCCUCUGGUAUUCCGGGGGGCAUGCCUGUUCGAGCGUCAUUACAACCCUCAAGCUCUGCUUGGUAUUGGGCGUCACCGCUUGGUGCGCCCCAAAAUCAGUGGCGGUGCCGUCUGGCUUCAAGCGUAGUAAUUCUUCUCGCUUUGGAGUCCAGGCGAGUGCUCGCCAGAACCCCCAAUUUUAUCAAGGUUGACCUCGGAUCAGGUAGGGAUACCCGCUGAACUUAA